Non-coding RNA from Misgurnus anguillicaudatus (oriental weatherfish), 2177 nucleotides. Lineage: Eukaryota; Metazoa; Chordata; Actinopteri; Cypriniformes; Cobitidae. The record is from RefSeq and is a predicted model, not a curated record.
CAUCUCCAAAAAAGCAAUUGUACUCUGAUUAUGAAACAGUUAAUUUUUUAUUGAAAUGGACUGCAAGUAUGAGUGAAAUUGUGUAAAGUAACUCCAUCACACUGGAUAAGGCUUCAAUAAAUUAUUAUGAAAGCUUACAUUAUUACUACGCUCAUUAUGUACUCUGCUUCUUAUGUUGUCCACCGUUUACUUUUUUUCUGCUUUUAUUAAUGUAAAGCUGCUUUGAAACAAUGAAACAAUUGUGAAAAGCGCUUUAUAAAAAUAAAUAAAAAUUGAAUUGAAUAAAUAGAUGAGCUAUUAGUAAUAAUCAAUUUAAUUUAUAAAGCGCCUUUCAAAGGACCCAAGGUCACUUGCUCAUUGCACUGCAAAAAAUGACUUUCUUCGUGUGUUUGUCUUGCUUUCAGUUAAAAUAUCAAAAAAUUCUUAAAUUAAGAUGUAUUAAAAGUUUUCUUGAAAUAUACUUUUUCAUAAACACUUAAUUUAAAACAAAUUUUCAUAUUCCAUUGGCUGAUUUUUUUCCUUAUUUUCCCAGGUCAUGUUGCUCAUCAAGAAAAUGCAUCUUAAUUUAAGAUUGUUUUGAUAUUUUUACUGAAAACAAGACAAAAAUACAAAGUAAGUCAUUUUUUGCAGUGUGACUCCAUUGAAUGUUCUUGUGGGAUAAAGAAAGUCUCUCUUUUUGUGUGUGGUGUGUGUGUGUAAUGUAGAUUAAAUAUGACCGGGCCAAAACGGACAUGGCAGCAGGUCAAAAUCAAAUACAAGCACAUUCUGCAGAAUGGUAAGGGCCCUGACUAAUACUUAAUAAUGCACAAGCAUAGAUUGUACCCAGAAGGUGCCUGCUUACACAUUGUCUGCACUGUUUUAGCAGUGAAAAAGAAUACCCAGAGACAAGGCACGUGUGGUGGGUAACCAAAAGCUGACCUCACCCCAGCAGAGGCCAGCUUUGGAGCUAAAUAAAGGCAGGCCUGAUGGAGGGGAUCCCUGGGGGAAAGAGACAAGCAUAGGUCCCUCCCAAGAUGCCACCCGCUUCAUACAAGUGUCUGGCAGCACUGUGUUACUAUUAAAGCCACCAGCACGAGCAGCAGACGAUGCUGAUCCAGCGAGUACUCCAUCAAAGGCAUACUGUAGGCCUGGCAGGUCUUGUCUACUAGCUUCAAUAUGAAUCCGAUUAAAUGUGAUAGGGUCAAGGCCCCAUUUCAUCAGCACAUAACGGCAAUGAUGAUGAGGAGACCAUCUCUCUGGAUUCCAGAAGGCAUAAGGACCCAGUGUCAUUGGUGCACUGGACUGCACACACAUAAGGAUAAAAGCCCCCUCAGGUGCCCAUGAGGCAGAUUUUGUAAAUAUGAAAUCUUUUUACAGCAUUAAUGUUCAGGUGAACAUAACUUUUUGAUCUUUUCCAUUGAACACUGGCAAAAUGGCCUGGCUCAGUCCAUGACUGCAGAAUCUUUCGGACCUCUGAAAUCUAUCAGUGCCUAUCACAAGGUGAAUUCUCUGGUGUAUUGCUGGGAGACAGGGGGUGUGGCUGCCAGCCUUUUUUCCUGACACCUUUCACAGACCCCCAGGUAGCACAACAGGCCUACAACUAUGCCCAUGCCAGGGCCAGUGUUGAAAUUACCUUUGACCUCCUGAAGGCACACUCUCACUGCUUUCACAAAUUAAGGGUCAGCCAUGUGAGGGCAUGUGACAAUACUGUGGCUCGUGGUGUCCUCCACAAUGUGGCCUGCCUGAGGAAGGAGAGGGCCAUGGACUGGGACAAUCCGGAAAUCUUCCCUGAUGACAACAGUGGUCGGCUGCUGAGGGACCAAUAUGUGUUGAAUUAUUUUAGUUAGUAUGCGUGCUUUCAAUUAUUAUUAUUUUUUUUAUUUGGCCUCUUUUGAUGUUUAUGCUGUAUACUGUGUGUAUACUGUUUGUAAUACAAGCUUGCAGGGAGGCUACUGCAUCCAUUAAUUUGUCUGUUCAGUUAGUGUGUGUAUGGAUUUGUCCUGCAUUUAUUUCAGUGUGCAGACAUGCAGGGUGUGUUAUAUACAGACCUUUGAAUGUGUAUUUAUCCUUUGGUUGUAUAAUAUGCUUUGAUUCUGUGCUUUCCAUCUUGUAGAGUCACUGUGUGACUUCAGUUUCGAAAGGAGCUGAUGGUUUACCUGCUUUGUUUUGUCCUUAUUCAAUAAAGGAACAUAAUGUUA